AUUGAACGCUGGCGGCAGGCCUAACACAUGCAAGUCGAACGGUAACAGGAAGCAGCUUGCUGCUUCGCUGACGAGUGGCGGACGGGUGAGUAAUGUCUGGGAAGCUGCCUGAUGGAGGGGGAUAACUACUGGAAACGGUAGCUAAUACCGCAUAAUGUCGCAAGACCAAAGAGGGGGACCUUCGGGCCUCUUGCCAUCGGCUGUGCCCAGAUGGGAUUAGCUUGUUGGUGGGGUAACGGCUCACCAAGGCGACGAUCCCUAGCUGGUCUGAGAGGAUGACCAGCCACACUGGAACUGAGACACGGUCCAGACUCCUACGGGAGGCAGCAGUGGGGAAUAUUGCACAAUGAGCGCAAGCCUGAUGCAGCCAUGCCGCGUGUAUGAAGAAGGCCUUCGGGUUGUAAAGUACUUUCAGCGGGGAGGAAGGGAGUAAAGUUAAUACCUUUGCUCAUUGACGUUACCCGCAGAAGAAGCACCGGCUAACUCCGUG
Molecule: ribosomal RNA, 490 nt
Filed under: uncultured bacterium
Lineage: Bacteria
Description: partial 16S ribosomal RNA
Rfam family: Bacterial small subunit ribosomal RNA
Source: RNAcentral